This 1432-nucleotide ribosomal RNA is filed under the name uncultured organism. Its description in RNAcentral is "16S ribosomal RNA". It matches the Rfam family "Bacterial small subunit ribosomal RNA". The record is from RNAcentral.
UGAACGCUGGCGGCGUGCUUAACACAUGCAAGUCGAGCGAUGAAGUUUCCUUCGGGAAACGGAUUAGCGGCGGACGGGUGAGUAACACGUGGGUAACCUGCCUCAUAGAGUGGAAUAGCCUUCCGAAAGGAAGAUUAAUACCGCAUAACGUUGAAAGAUGGCAUCAUCAUUCAACCAAAGGAGCAAUCCGCUAUGAGAUGGACCCGCGGCGCAUUAGCUAGUUGGUGGGGUAACGGCCUACCAAGGCGACGAUGCGUAGCCGACCUGAGAGGGCGAUCGGCCACAUUGGGACUGAGACACGGCCCAGACUCCUACGGGAGGCAGCAGUGGGGAAUAUUGCACAAUGGGGGAAACCCUGAUGCAGCAACGCCGCGUGAGUGAUGAAGGUUUUCGGAUCGUAAAGCUCUGUCUUUGGGGAAGAUAAUGACGGUACCCAAGGAGGAAGCCACGGCUAACUACGUGCCAGCAGCCGCGGUAAUACGUAGGUGGCGAGCGUUAUCCGGAUUUACUGGGCGUAAAGGGAGCGUAGGCGGAUGAUUAAGUGGGAUGUGAAAUACCCGGGCUCAACUUGGGUGCUGCAUUCCAAACUGGUUAUCUAGAGUGCAGGAGAGGAGAGUGGAAUUCCUAGUGUAGCGGUGAAAUGCGUAGAGAUUAGGAAGAACACCAGUGGCGAAGGCGACUCUCUGGACUGUAACUGACGCUGAGGCUCGAAAGCGUGGGGAGCAAACAGGAUUAGAUACCCUGGUAGUCCACGCCGUAGACGAUGAAUACUAGGUGUGGGGGUUUCAACACCUCCGUGCCGCCGCUAACGCAUUAAGUAUUCCGCCUGGGGAGUACGGUCGCAAGAUUAAAACUCAAAGGAAUUGACGGGGACCCGCACAAGUAGCGGAGCAUGUGGUUUAAUUCGAAGCAACGCGAAGAACCUUACCUACACUUGACAUCCCUUGCAUUACUCUUAAUCGAGGAAAUCCCUUCGGGGACAAGGUGACAGGUGGUGCAUGGUUGUCGUCAGCUCGUGUCGUGAGAUGUUGGGUUAAGUCCCGCAACGAGCGCAACCCUUGUCGUUAGUUACUACCAUUAAGUUGAGGACUCUAGCGAGACUGCCUGGGUUAACCAGGAGGAAGGUGGGGAUGACGUCAAAUCAUCAUGCCCCUUAUGUGUAGGGCUACACACGUGCUAUAAUGGCUGGUACAGAGAGAUGCAAUACCGCGAGGUGGAGCCAAACUUAAAAACCAGUCUCAGUUCGGAUUGUAGGCUGAAACUCGCCUACAUGAAGCUGGAGUUACUAGUAAUCGCGAAUCAGAAUGUCGCGGUGAAUACGUUCCCGGGUCUUGUACACACCGCCCGUCACACCAUGAGAGUUGGCAAUACCCGAAGUCCGUGAGCUAACCGCAAGGAGGCAGCGGCCGAAGGUAGGGUCAGCGAUUGGGGU